GACGAACGCUGGCGGCGUGCUUAACACAUGCAAGUCGAACGGAAAGGCCCUGCUUUUGUGGGGUGCUCGAGUGGCGAAAGGGUGAGUAACACGUGAGUAACCUGCCCUUGACUUUGGGAUAACUUCAGGAAACUGGGGCUAAUACCGGAUAGGAGCUCCUGCUGCAUGGUGGGGGUUGGAAAGUUUCGGCGGUUGGGGAUGGACUCGCGGCUUAUCAGCUUGUUGGUGGGGUAGUGGCUUACCAAGGCUUUGACGGGUGGCCGGCCUGAGAGGGUGACCGGCCACAUUGGGACUGCGAUACGGCCCAGACUCCUACGGGAGGCAGCAGUGGGGAAUAUUGCACAAUGGGCGGAAGCCUGAUGCAGCAGCGCCGCGUGCGGGAUGACGGCCUUCGGGUUGUAAACCGCUUUCGCAUGUGACGAAGCGUGAGUGACGGUAAUGGGUAAAGAAGCACCGGCUAACUACGUG
RNAcentral lists this ribosomal RNA (468 nucleotides) under uncultured bacterium. Its description in RNAcentral is "partial 16S ribosomal RNA". It matches the Rfam family "Bacterial small subunit ribosomal RNA", at positions 28 to 507 of the family's 1533-position model. The record is from RNAcentral.